RNAcentral lists this transfer RNA (47 nucleotides) under Kohleria hirsuta. RNAcentral's name for it is "partial tRNA-Leu". Lineage: Eukaryota; Viridiplantae; Streptophyta; Magnoliopsida; Lamiales; Gesneriaceae. The record is from RNAcentral.
AAAAUCCGUCGACUUUAAAAAUCGUGAGGGUUCUCCCUCUAUCCCCA